Long non-coding RNA from Telopea speciosissima, 768 nucleotides. RefSeq lists it as uncharacterized. The record is from RefSeq and is a predicted model, not a curated record. The transcript has 2 exons. NCBI's taxonomy places the organism in Eukaryota, Viridiplantae, Streptophyta, Magnoliopsida, Proteales, Proteaceae.
CCUGAACCAAGAAGAGGCAGAAAAGAUGAGCAACACACAUUAACUUUUGAGCCAAAAACCCUCAGAAGAACGUUUACACGGCUUUCUGUUAUAAAUUAACAAACUUACUUUAACUAUCUUAUGUAUAUAUAAUGGUAGAAAAUAGGUACUGAGAUUAGAACCUUAGAGAAAAACUUCUGAGCAUGGCUUCGAAUCUGAACAGCAGUCUUUGUGCCCACAUGUUCUGCAUAAAAACAGAGUACUUUCAAGAUAUUGGCUAUAAAGAAGUUAAGAUGAAAAUUGUUUCAGGAAUCUGUAACUUCACUCAUGCUAACCUUCAAUCCGACGCCAAGCACGACCAUACAACUUUAAGGCUUCCAGGAACUUCUUAUGCUCCUCCUCUGUCCAUCUUUCUCGUUGUUUUGUGAUUGUGUAAGGUUUUCUCACCUAUUAACAGAACAAAGGACAAUAAGCAUCCAAAAAAGAGUAAAGCAAAAGAAGUUUCAGUUGGGUUAUUCUUUCAAUGGAAGCUGGCUUUCAAAUUUACAGAUAGAAUGGAACCUUGGGUGCAUAUUCAUCUCCAGAGGGAUACAUCUCCGUCAGUUGGACUCCAGUUACAGAUCGUGAGCCAACAUCCAAACAAACAGGAUUGCCAUGGAUGUUACCAGCAUGGGUACAUGUGCCUCCGCUACUAUCCUAAAUCCAAAGCAAGAACAACAAUGAAAUUAGAAAUGCCUGAUCACCAUUAGUCACAAAGUACUCUACUUAGCGCAGAGAGCCAAAAACAAC